This 1999-nucleotide unclassified non-coding RNA is filed under the name Hevea brasiliensis (rubber tree). Lineage: Eukaryota; Viridiplantae; Streptophyta; Magnoliopsida; Malpighiales; Euphorbiaceae. The record is from RNAcentral.
CUCUCUCUCUCUCUCUCUCUUUAAGAUUGGGCAUUUGUCUCUGCCUCCUCCAGUGAAUGUCGAAUCCUGAACAAUUAAUGAAUCUAAAAUACUUAUUCAUGAAAUCUCUCUUCUUCUCAGCUUUGAUUUUCUAGCUCUUCUUUUAUUUUUCUCUUUUUGAUUCAUUUAACUAUUUACUUUGUCAAAGCAUUUGGUUUUUUUAAUUCACUUUGUUGUUCUUUUACUGAAUUUAAUUGCAUUUGAAUUCAUUUUUUAAUUUACUGGAUUUCAUUUUUCUUCUAUCAGGUACAAUUCUUAUCUUCUUUCUAAGGCCUUAUUUUGAAAACCAACAAGCUGAUAAAAACUGUAAGUUAGAGGGAAGUUUUCACUAGAGCACUCUUUACUUUCUGAUAUUUGAGAUCAAAUUGAGGGAAUAUUGAAAAAUUGCUUGCACGUUUGUUGAAUGAAAAUAGUCAGAAUGGCCUUGGUUUAAACUUUGUUUCAGAAAUUUUGUAUAAAUUAGCCAUUGAUAAUAUUUUAACGCAUUGGCUUUGGCAUUGAUUUUUUAUUAUUAUAUUUGGGGGAAAGAAUGAUGGUUUGGAGUAAGAUUCACGGGUGUUUCACUAUAAAUUACAAUAUGUGGAACCCAAGGGUAUUUCUUUUUCAUUUUCUUUUUCUACUUCAAAAAAGAGCUAAAAUUCUUGUUUGGGGGCCUUAGAAUUGUCUAUAUUGUGGCAAGCCUGAUCUGUAAAAUUGAUUGUACUGCCUAAAUGAAUAUUAAUUUAGUUAUUAUACAAUUUAGGAUAAAAAUUUUGCUGUCUCCCACAAAGGAGAGUGAAUCUUAAUAUGCUACUUGCUUACCUUGCUUCCAGUUUGGUUCUUCUCUUUGCUCAUUAUUACUUAAGCUUUCGACUUGGUUCUUUGAUUAUCCUUGGAUUUCUUAUAAAAUUCCUAAUUCUUUUUAAUUGGGUGUAUUAUUUGUUAUCUUUGACAGAACGAAACCAUGGUAGCAAUUAAAGCUCCACGUGGCACUACUUUGGAAGUCUCAGAUCCUGAUGAGGUAAUCCCAUAAGCAGACGCCGGUCGAUCAAGUACAAAAUGCAUAAUUUUUGUGCAUGCAUACUCAAUAUGGGCUAUUAACUAUCCCCAAAGGAGAUACAGGAUAGUCCUUAGAAGUACAAUGGGUCCCAUAGAUGUUUAUCUUGUCAGUCAAUUUGAAGAGAAAUUCGAGGAGAUUCAUGGCAUUGAGCCAACACCAAAUUAUCCAUCAACUUCAGGCUUUAAUGAAAAUCUAGCAACUACAAUGGUCGCAGGGGAGAGCAGGGGAAAGGAGAUCGAAAUGCAGGGUGAAGAGGCUCAUAGAAUGUGCUCAGAUCUUAACACCUCACAGGAUUUUGUGAGCGGGAUCAUGAAGAUUGUUCCCUCAGAUGUAGAUAGUGAUGCGGAUUACUGGCUAUUAUCAGAUGCUGGUGUUAGCAUCACAGACAUGUGGAGCACUGAGCCUGGGGUUGAGUGGAAUGAGUUUGGAACACUUCAUGAUGAAUAUGGCAUGGCAAAUGUCAGCACGCCUCGAGCCCAAACUCCAUCCAAUCAAACUGAAGUUCCUUCUACUACUAAUAAUAAUGCAAGGUGAAAUGAAAAUGUCAAAAUGAUACAGGUGCUUGUUUUUGGUUGCAAACCAAUGAUAUCUAUGCAUCCGCAUGGCCUUCAGCUUUGACUGCUGUGGGGAUUUUCUGGUGGUUCCUGGGAUUAGCAUAAAAAAUGUCCUUGAAGUCCUGAGGAACUAAAGAAUAGGAAGUAGCUCGUGCAUUGUACAGAGCAAUUAAUAUAGCUAUCCAUGUAAUCCUGGAGGAAAUAAGAUCUGUGUAUUUUUGAGUUCAUCCUUGUACAUUGCUCCAAUUCGGUUUUGUUGCAUUCAGAAGCUUGGCAUGUGGAUAGGCGGUACAAGUUAUGUAAGAUAUAAUGUGAUGGCAAAUAUUAAUCUGACUAAAACUGGAAUUGAAUCUCUGAAGAACCCUCU